GAAAUGCGAUAAUUAAUGUGAAUUGCAGAAUUCAGUGAAUCAUCGAGUCUUUGAACGCACAUUGCGCCCCCUGGUAUUCCGGGGGGCAUGCCUGUCCGAGCGUCAUUGCUGCCCUCAAGCACGGCUUGUGUGUUGGGCUUCCGUCCCUGGCAACGGGGACGGGCCCAAAAGGCAGUGGCGGCACCAUGUCUGGUCCUCGAGCGUAUGGGGCUUUGUCACCCGCUCCCGUAGGUCCAGCUGGCAGUUAGCCUCGCAACCAAUCUUUUUAACCAGGUUGACCUCGGAUCAGGUAGGGAUACCCGCUGAACUUAAGC
Molecule: unclassified non-coding RNA, 314 nt
Filed under: plant metagenome
Description: partial contains 5.8S ribosomal RNA, internal transcribed spacer 2, and large subunit ribosomal RNA
Rfam family: 5.8S ribosomal RNA (bases 1-105)
Source: RNAcentral